Non-coding RNA from Dipodomys ordii (Ord's kangaroo rat), 70 nucleotides. Lineage: Eukaryota; Metazoa; Chordata; Mammalia; Rodentia; Heteromyidae. The record is from Rfam.
GGGAAGGUGGCUCAGUGGUAGAGUGCUUGCCUUGCAUGCAUGAGGCCCUGGGUUUGAUUCCCCAAUACCA